Macrobrachium nipponense is the source of this 418-nucleotide long non-coding RNA. RefSeq lists it as uncharacterized. The record is from RefSeq and is a predicted model, not a curated record. The transcript is spliced from 2 exons. Lineage: Eukaryota; Metazoa; Arthropoda; Malacostraca; Decapoda; Palaemonidae.
UGGAAGAGUAUACUUCUUCCAGAACUAGCUACGGAAGCAUCGAAGCAUCACAUUACCUAAUCGUCAUGAAAACGAUCGGCGUUGCCCUGUUGGUGUUGGUGGCCCUAUUUGCCCUGAUGGAGGUCACUGGAGCGCUGCCAGCUCCCGAACCUAGCCGUCGCUUCUUCUUUGGAGGCAGUCCCUAUGGCUUCGGCGGUUACGGCUACAGACCCUUCGGAUACGGCUUCGGCUAUGGCGGAUAUGGAGGUGGCUUUGGAAGCUUUGGCAGUUACAGUAGCUUCGGAAGUUUCUACGGUUGAUAAUCUUCUUAUACAGCGUUCCUUCAGUUCAUUCUUAUAAUCAUUAGAGAAAUGAAUGUUUUUAAAAAACAGAGAUGGCAUAAAUUAUUGAGACUGAAAUAAAAAUCGACCUUUUCCCA